This 253-nucleotide ribosomal RNA is filed under the name uncultured bacterium. RNAcentral describes it as "partial 16S ribosomal RNA". It matches the Rfam family "Bacterial small subunit ribosomal RNA", at positions 524 to 776 of the family's 1533-position model. The record is from RNAcentral.
UACGAAGGGUGCAAGCGUUACUCGGAAUUACUGGGCGUAAAGCGUGCGUAGGUGGUGAGUUAAGUCUGAUGUGAAAUCCCCGGGCUCAACCUGGGAAUGGCAUUGGAUACUGGCUCGCUAGAGUGCGGUAGAGGGUGGUGGAAUUCCCGGUGUAGCAGUGAAAUGCGUAGAGAUCGGGAGGAACAUCUGUGGCGAAGGCGGCCUUCUGGACCAAUACUGACGCUCAUGCACGAAAGCGUGGGGAGCAAACAGG